GAUUGAACGCUGGCGGCAUGCCUUACACAUGCAAGUCGAACGGUAACAGGUUAAGCUGACGAGUGGCGAACGGGUGAGUAAUGUAUCGGAACGUGCCCAGUCGUGGGGGAUAACUGCUCGAAAGAGCAGCUAAUACCGCAUACGACCUGAGGGUGAAAGCGGGGGAUCGCAAGACCUCGCGCGAUUGGAGCGGCCGAUAUCAGAUUAGGUAGUUGGUGAGGUAAAGGCUCACCAAGCCGACGAUCUGUAGCUGGUCUGAGAGGACGACCAGCCACACUGGGACUGAGACACGGCCCAGACUCCUACGGGAGGCAGCAGUGGGGAAUUUUGGACAAUGGGCGCAAGCCUGAUCCAGCCAUGCCGCGUGCGGGAAGAAGGCCUUCGGGUUGUAAACCGCUUUUGUCAGGGAAGAAAAGGUUCUGGCUAAUACCUGGGACUCAUGACGGUACCUGAAGAAUAAGCACCGGCUAACUACGUG
RNAcentral lists this ribosomal RNA (478 nucleotides) under uncultured bacterium. Its description in RNAcentral is "partial 16S ribosomal RNA". It matches the Rfam family "Bacterial small subunit ribosomal RNA", at positions 27 to 507 of the family's 1533-position model. The record is from RNAcentral.